Long non-coding RNA from Delphinapterus leucas (beluga whale), 638 nucleotides. RefSeq lists it as uncharacterized. The record is from RefSeq and is a predicted model, not a curated record. NCBI's taxonomy places the organism in Eukaryota, Metazoa, Chordata, Mammalia, Artiodactyla, Monodontidae.
UGUGAGAGAGAGAGAGGGAGAGAGAGCAAAUGGGGCAAAACGUUAACUACUGGUGAAUCUGAGUGAAGGCUUUUCUGAAGGUUUCCUGAUUGUCAAAAACAAAAAGAAGGGAAUUGCCUCGCCGACAGCCGCGGGUUCAAUCCCUGGUCGUCGGGGAACUAAGAUCCCGCAAGCCAGCCGCCUGGUGAGGCCAAAAAAGAAAAAAAAGAAAAAGGCCUCUAACAAGGUACCCCUCCUUCAGGCACCAAGCGGCCUGGUCCAACGUUACAUCUGCUGCAAAUCAAUUGGAUUCUAUUCAUACAACGGAACAUCGUGGGCAGUGAACGAAUGGGAACAAACCGCAGCUCCAGCAACCACCCGGAGGCCUCCGGACGCAGCUGCAAGAUUCCACUGAUGAUUAAACAACAACCACCCCAAGCAAACUGAACGCAAACUGUUUUGGGCUACGUACCUGGGGGGCAAACCGCAGAGAAAGGCAAGGAAGUGGUUACCGUAAAGGUCAGCAUUGCGCUUACCUGGGGAGGGGUCACCUGCAAGGACACAUUGAGGGGCUCUGCAAGGCGGAUUUUCUUACCUUGAGUGGUAGUUACGCGGGGACGCAUUUUAUACUUAUUCAAAUACACACAUAACAGCUGUAA